RNAcentral lists this ribosomal RNA (237 nucleotides) under uncultured bacterium. RNAcentral's name for it is "partial 16S ribosomal RNA". It matches the Rfam family "Bacterial small subunit ribosomal RNA", at positions 335 to 561 of the family's 1533-position model. The record is from RNAcentral.
ACUCCUACGGGAGGCAGCAGUGGGGAAUAUUGCACAAUGGGGGAAACCCCUGAUGCAGCCAUGCCGCGUGUGUGAAGAAGGCCUUCGGGUUGUAAAGCACUUUCAGUAGGGGAGGAAGGUAGUGUAGUUAANACCUGCAUUAUUUGACGUUACCUACAGAAGAAGCACCGGCUAACUCCGUGCCAGCAGCCGCGGGNAAUACGGAGGGUGCGAGCGUUAAUCGGAAUUACUGGGCGU